UAAUACGGAGGGUCCGAGCGUUAUCCGGAUUUAUUGGGUUUAAAGGGAGCGUAGAUGGAUGUUUAAGUCAGUUGUGAAAGUUUGAGGCUCAACCUUAAAAUUGCAAUUGAUACUGGACGUCUUGAGUACGGUUGAGGUAGGUGGAAUUCGUGGUGUAGCGGUGAAAUGCUUAGAUAUCACGAAGAACUCCGAUUGCGAAGGCAUCUUACUAAGCCGUAACUGACAUUGAGGCUCGAAAGUGUGGGUAUCAAACAGG
Molecule: ribosomal RNA, 256 nt
Filed under: uncultured bacterium
Lineage: Bacteria
Description: partial 16S ribosomal RNA
Rfam family: Bacterial small subunit ribosomal RNA
Source: RNAcentral